AUGGAGGACGAAGAGCACGAGGUGUACGGCCAGGAGAUCCCCGUCGACGGCGAGGACGUCGACAUGGGCGCCGGGGGCGACGACGCCGCCAAGCUGCACGAGCUCGACGAGAUGAAGCGCCGUCUCAAGGAGAUGGAGGAGGAGGCCGCCGCCCUCCGCGAGAUGCAGGCCAAGGUCGCCAAGGAGAUGCAAGGCGGAGAUCCUAAUGCGACCACAUCUGAAGCAAAAGAAGAGAUGGAUUCUCGUUCUGUUUUUGUUGGAAAUGUUGACUAUGCAUGCACUCCAGAAGAAGUGCAGCAGCAUUUUAAUUCGUGCGGAACCGUCAACCGAGUGACUAUCCUGACCGACAAGUUUGGGCAGCCUAAAGGUUUUGCUUACGUUGAAUUUGUUGAAGCAGAAGCUAUUCAGGAAGCUGUCAAGCUGAGUGAGUCAGAGCUUCAUGGUCGGCAAAUCAAGGUAGCGCCGAAGCGAACUAACGUUCCUGGGUUGAAGCAGCCCCGAGGGGGCCGAGGAUUCAACCCAUAUGGCGGCCACCCCUACAUGAGGCCAUAUCCUCCACCGUUUUACAAUCCUUAUGGUGGUUAUGGGAGAGCUCCCAGGUUCCGCCGUCCGCGCAGGCCCUUCUACUAA
Molecule: ribosomal RNA, 630 nt
Filed under: Triticum aestivum (bread wheat)
Lineage: Eukaryota; Viridiplantae; Streptophyta; Magnoliopsida; Poales; Poaceae
Description: partial small subunit ribosomal RNA
Source: RNAcentral